CUCCUGCCUCUGUCUAUACCUAACAGACAUUGAAAACGAAAGCGAUGAUUUGGUGGAACGUUGUGAUUAAACUUUAAUCGCUACUUGCACAAUUCCUUCGGCUCAUCAAGAUCAAGAUACCAUGGUUCACCUGGAUCACUUUACUGACACCCAUAUUUCAAGAAACGUGGAUAAUGUUGACACAGUGAGCAAAAAAGCUUUGGAGCCUGAGGCCCUUGACAUCACAGACAUUGAGAGUCAACACAGCACAGACAAUCAAGACUGAUGAAGAAAAGAAAGAAAUCAUAACAUCUUCUAAUUUCCCAGAAAGUACGACACCUGUUCUGACAAUUGCAUUGAUUGGUGGCACUGAUUCUAUGUAGAUUGAAUCUGGAAAUCUCCUUCUUGGUCAAGAUGAUCUACCAGCAGCAGAACUCUCACAGAUAACACCCAGGAUGUAUGAUCUACCAGCAGCAGAACUCUCACAGAUAACACCCAGGAUGUAUGAUCUACCAGCAGCAGAACUCUCACAGAUAAUACCCAGGAUGUAUGAUUUGCCCAGUCAUUGUGUCUCUGUUAUCAACAUGCUGGGCUUGCAGAGUUCUGAACUUACCCAGGAGAAUCACAUAGGUCUACUUGUUCAUAAGCAGGGUAUCAAUGCUGUCCUCUUACUUCUACCAUUGGGUCAGCAUAUUGAUGAAUUCAAAAUGGGAGUGGGGUGGCUGGAAAGAAUGCUUGGAGAGAGAGCCCUUGCCUUUACAAUAAUCGUCUUUACCCACAAGAAUGGGCAAGACUUUGGGUUGGGUGAUCUAAAGGACAACAAUGAUCUGAUGGAUCUCAUAGAAAUGUGUGGAAAUAGGUAUCUCACCUGUAAAAAGAGUAUGAAUGAUCCAAUCGAGAUUUCAACAUUACUUGAAUAGAUAGACCUCAUGGUGUCUGAAAAUGAUCCAUGCUGCUACACAGGAUACAUGUAUGAUGAAGAGAUCAGGAAACGGCAACUGAAAACAGAUUGGGGUGACCGAUCACAAAGCGAGGAGAAA
RNAcentral lists this long non-coding RNA (1019 nucleotides) under Salmo salar (Atlantic salmon). RNAcentral describes it as "lncRNA (ENSSSAG00000091422.1)". The record is from RNAcentral. Lineage: Eukaryota; Metazoa; Chordata; Actinopteri; Salmoniformes; Salmonidae.